UACUUGAGUGUUAUCAAAGGCCUUCUCUGU
Molecule: non-coding RNA, 30 nt
Filed under: Rattus norvegicus (Norway rat)
Lineage: Eukaryota; Metazoa; Chordata; Mammalia; Rodentia; Muridae
Source: RNAcentral